RNAcentral lists this long non-coding RNA (1877 nucleotides) under Cricetulus griseus (Chinese hamster). RNAcentral's name for it is "lncRNA (ENSCGRG00015029916.1)". Lineage: Eukaryota; Metazoa; Chordata; Mammalia; Rodentia; Cricetidae. The record is from RNAcentral.
UGUCUUUGCAUUUAUCACAACCACGGUAUGACAUUCCGCUAACAUCCCCACUUCACAGAUGAGCAAACAGAACACAGCCAUCAGCCAAGGCCCCUUGUAGAGAGGCAAAUUACUGUUUACAGCUACCAAGUUGGUAUCCAGGUCUUCCUGACUGGGAAGUUAAACCUUAACAAAAACAAUCAGCCCCUCCCCCAUUCGUUGGCAAAUAGAAAUAAAAAAAAAUUAAAAUUGUGUGGUAACAAUACACCAUGCAAGUUUUCUCUCUACAAUAUAAAAUAAGAAUAAACAGUGUGGUGCUUAGAUGAGGUUGAGAAGGAAUUGCCAGCACAGGGACAGAGAGUCAGAGAGACCAUAGGGGUGGAGGGAAGCAGGUGCUCGGCAGCUAGCCCAGUCUCUCAUGCUUGGAGGGACUCUGGGUUAGCCUCUGCUAAGCAGGAGAUUUCACCAUUCUAUGGCUCCAAAGUUCUCCGGGUCAUGAUGUCUGCUGGAUGGGAGUUUCCACUGUUACCAUGUAAUUUACCAAACAUGUACAAAGUGUCUUGGUCAUAGAGCAAGCAAAAAUGAGCAACAAAUAGGCCAAAUAACAGCAUAUCAAGGUUCCAGGUCAUAAUCCCCAGUGCCUGCAAAGGCUGCCUUAAGACUGCAAAGGGAUUUUGUUUUUUGUUUUUUGUUUUUUUGUUUUUUGUUUUUUCAGACAAAAUGAAGAAUGUUAAAAUGAAGUGACCAUCUUGAAUCAUUAUCUGAGCAAGCCUGAAGUAACCAUCUAGCCCUUUGAUAUAAGGUCAGAGGAUGCUGUUGCUGGCUUUGAAGAUGGACAAGAGGACCACGAGCCAAAGAGCACAUGUCUGCAUGCUGGAAAAGCCUAAGAAAAGGACUCUUCCCUGGAGACUCCAGGGGGUGUGAGCCCUGCCACACCUUGAUUCUAAACACUGCUGCCCAAGAUCCAUUUCACCCUUCAGAACUGAGGGGCAAAGGACUGCCUCUGAUAGACAGGGACAGGUGGGGCACGAAAACGGCAGUUUAUAAAGGUUGUAUUUGUGGGUGUUUAUUCAUCCUGCUGAGGAGACAUAAACAGAGAAGUCUAUUCAGCCCAGAUAGAGCACCAAUGCCAAACCAAAGCACUUGCUCUCAACCUUCCCAAUACUUGGGGUCCUUCAGUACAGUUCCUCAUGCUAUGACCCCCCAACCAUAAAAUUAUUUUGUUGCUACUUCAUAAGUGUAUUUUUGCUACUGUUAUGAAUCAUAAUGUACAUGUCUGAUAUUUGGGAUAUCUGAUAUGCAACCCCCAAAGGAGUUGUGACCCACAGUUUGAGAACCACUGGACCAAAGAAUCAUCCCAUCCAAACCCAGUCUAGUGAACCAGUGAGUCUAUUGGGGUUACUUUCAGCAGCAUAAAUGCAAAGCCCAGUCCUCCAUGGGUGACAGCUCACAGAAGGCCAAAGCCCUGGACCUCCCUGCUUCCUGCACAAACUUGCAGCCAGCUGUGCCAAUCAGAGAGUCAUUUCCACCCAGCAAUCACUCACUGCUGUUUUUUUGUUUGGGUUUGUUUUUUCUUUUUUAGACAGGGUCUUGUGUAUCCCAAGCAAGCCUGAAGCCUAGCUAGCUAUGUAGUUGAACAUGACCUUGAAGUUUCUGAUUCUCCUGCCUCUACCUCCCAAGUGCUGAGAUUACAGGAGUGCUUAAGUAUGCUUGGUUUCUGUGGUUCUGGGACUGGAACCCAGGCAUCACAUAUGCUUAGCAAGCACUCCAUCAAUGGAACUACAAGCCCAGCCCUGCUUUUAUAAUCUUGAGGAGGGACUUUGUGAGUCCUGUAGGCCUCAGGAGCUUCCCAAACCACGUUAAAUUUCCUUUACUUCCUAAAUCUUGAGUCUCCUUCC